Molecule: ribosomal RNA, 500 nt
Filed under: uncultured bacterium
Lineage: Bacteria
Description: partial 16S ribosomal RNA
Rfam family: Bacterial small subunit ribosomal RNA
Source: RNAcentral
AUUGAACGCUGGCGGCAUGCUUUACACAUGCAAGUCGAACGGUAACAGGGGCUUCGGCCCGCUGACGAGUGGCGAACGGGUGAGUAAUGUAUCGGAACGUGCCCAGUCGUGGGGGAUGACUACUCGAAAGAGUAGCUAAUACCGCAUGAGAACUGAGGUUGAAAGCGGGGGAUCUUCGGACCUCGCGCUACUGGAGCGGCUGAUAUCAGAUUAGGUAGUUGGUGAGGUAAAGGCUUACCAAGCCUGCGAUCUGUAGCUGGUCUGAGAGGACGACCAGCCACACUGGGACUGAGACACGGCCCAGACUCCUACGGGAGGCAGCAGUGGGGAAUUUUGGACAAUGGGCGCAAGCCUGAUCCAGCAAUGCCGCGUGCAGGACGAAGGCCUUCGGGUUGUAAACUGCUUUUGUACAGAACGAAAUGUCUCUGGCUAAUACCUGGGGAAGAUGACGGUACUGUAAGAAUAAGCACCGGCUAACUCCGUGCCAGCAGCCGCAGUAA